This 1173-nucleotide long non-coding RNA is filed under the name Echeneis naucrates (live sharksucker). RNAcentral's name for it is "lncRNA (ENSENLG00000012622.1)". The record is from RNAcentral. Lineage: Eukaryota; Metazoa; Chordata; Actinopteri; Carangiformes; Echeneidae.
GCUGCUGAGCUAUCGCGUGAGUUCGAGCGAUUCACUUCCUGUAUGAGGUUUUCAUGCGGCUCACACGAAUGUGUGCAUCUGUCAGCCAGAGGUGAACAUGGCAGACGUCUCGGAGAGGACGCUGCAAGUGGCCGUCGUGGUGUCCUUCGCCGCCGGCUUCCUGGCGGGCUGGCAGGCCAACAGGAUGCGGAGGAAGUUUCUGGACUGGAGGAAGAAACGACUUCAAGAUAAACUGUCAGAGACGCAGAAGAAGCUGGACUUAGCCUGAAUGGGGAGCGGAUACUGGCUAGCUGCGUUGGGAAAUAUGUGGCUUCUUGUCUUUGGAUGCAUUUUGAGGUCUGUGGAUCCUGAAUCUGCUACAAUCUGUCUCUGUGAAAGGGGGAGACCUCAUCAUGAUGUACCUGUGUCCUCCACUGCCUGCGUUAUCCUGCCAUGACUAAGAUUGGACUUGAUACUAACUGUGGUCUUUGGAAAUACAAGCAUUUUCUACACACAUCAGCAGCUUGUAUAGUCUGUCUGUUUCACAUCUGGUCAAAUAAAUCAUAGUUUUUUGUUUUGUUUUCCAUGUUUCACCAAUACUUCAGAAGAUUUUUGAAUGAUCAUUUAUUACAUGUGGGUGUGAACCUGGAUUUGGAUCUGAUAUUUUUAAGGGCCACAAAGUUUUCCCAGUUUCCCAGUUUUACUUUGAGUGACAGUGCCAUCUGCUGGAUGAAACUUUCAUGUCCAAGACGGGAUUGGAUGACCUCUUUCUACCGUCUGAUCCACAGUCCAGAGCAGAAGGUGGUGAUAAUAUGCCAAUAAGCUGGAUCCCAAACACCUUAAAACAAGAAGACGGCAGCAUCUCAGCACAGACAGCAGAACUGAAGUACUCUUUACGCAAUGUACACGACAACAUUUACAACUUGGAAUAAUUCUUAUCAAGAAUCCCUUUUGGCUCCCUUCAUUGAUGGACCCUAUGGAUGAAUGCAGAUAAUCAACGGAAAGAGGACAAUUGCAUUCUAAAGGUAGGGAGCCUCCACGGUUUUUGCCAUCUUGCUGGUUUGUGAUGCUGUAAAUCUGAGUUAGGCCUAAUUGUUAGUUUAUUAUUUUCCUCAGAACAGUUUGAUUUUGGAGAACGGUGCACAGCUUGAGGCUGGCUGCUGGCAACCUAGAUGAAAAGACUGAGUCCCCAGC